Molecule: long non-coding RNA, 693 nt
Filed under: Rattus norvegicus (Norway rat)
Lineage: Eukaryota; Metazoa; Chordata; Mammalia; Rodentia; Muridae
Description: long non-coding RNA NONRATT008507
Source: RNAcentral
UCACAGGUCUACUGGGUGCUAUACUGUGUACAGUAGAUCAGACUCUUCUAGGAGUCACAGGAGGCUGUGGUACUCGGCCUCCUUCCCAUUUGUUCCUCUGCCAGCUUCACUUCCACACCCCACAGCUACUGAUGGGCUCUGUUGAGGGGAUAGAGAGGAUAGGAAGAGAAAGGUAGGAGGAAGGGGGAGGGAGAGGAGGAGGAGGGGGAGGAGGACUCCUUUCUCUAUUGGAUUUAACCAGAGCAGGUGGGACCAAGUGACUCUGGUCCUUUGACUCUAGAGGACUGAUUCGAGUCUGUGCUAGAAGAGGUGUGGCUAACCUUAGGGGGCAUGGUGAGCUAGGAUACUUGGAUGUUCCUUCUCCGCUUUCUCUCAGAAAUGAGAAUACAACAAUAGGAUCUCUACCCAUGAAGUAACAUCCUACAGGUAGGAAGUAAGCCCAGUGGGCAGCUUCCCCAAAGCCAGUGACGUGUUCCAGGAGCACACACUGGGCUCUGUAGUGUAUUAUGCUGCUAAAUGGGUCUAAAGAAUGAUCUUGGCUGUCAUGUAGUUAUUGUUAAAGUGACAGUACUUGGAUUCCAGGAAGGCUCAUUGAUGUUCAGGUGACAAGCCACACAUUUCCCCUUUGACUUAUUACCCCACCACCUUUAAAUAAUGUACAAUAAAAUUGGACAAGUUAUGCUUUGUCAAUAA